RNAcentral lists this unclassified non-coding RNA (565 nucleotides) under Hevea brasiliensis (rubber tree). The record is from RNAcentral. Lineage: Eukaryota; Viridiplantae; Streptophyta; Magnoliopsida; Malpighiales; Euphorbiaceae.
GUGUGUGUGUGUGUGUGUGUAUCUCUCUCUGUUUGUAUCUCUAACAUGUUUGCACAAAUGUACAUGAAUGCUUAUUUGCAGACAAUAAGACAUUCUUUUCUGCAUUACUGUGUACCUAAAAUUUCUACAUAUAUGGGCAAAUGAUUAAGUGAGAGGAAAUCCUGCACUGUAGAGCUGAAGUAUUGGUCUAAAGCACCACAGAAGAAUGAGAAUGAGAAAUGGCUUAGGUUUGAAAUAAUCACUAAAUAGCCCAUGUUUUGACUGCCACGUGAUCUCUGCCCUGGACCAAAUUGAGGAAGUUAACUUUCAGUCCAUGACUUUGAUUUAGAUCUUUCAAUUGCAAGUCAUCCUUUUAAAAUAAGGAUGAUACAGGAUUCUGACUUAAAAUUUCUGAUCAUGUUAAUUUUUACAACUUAGAAAUGUAUAGUACUGCUAGUGCUAGUGAAUCAAGACUGAAAAAAAAAAGCUAGUGAAUUUGGUUACCUUCAGUUUCUAUCCAAGUGGUUGCAAACCACUAAAUAUUUUUUCCUUUUGUAUUUAUAGGAGCUUGGUCUUAGCCCAUCAG